AGUGAUGGCUUAGUGGUAGAGCGCUUGCCUAGCAUGUAUGAGGCACUGGGUUUGAUUCUCAGCACUG
Molecule: transfer RNA, 67 nt
Filed under: Ictidomys tridecemlineatus (thirteen-lined ground squirrel)
Lineage: Eukaryota; Metazoa; Chordata; Mammalia; Rodentia; Sciuridae
Description: Spermophilus tridecemlineatus (thirteen-lined ground squirrel) tRNA
Rfam family: tRNA
About the family: Transfer RNA (tRNA) molecules are approximately 80 nucleotides in length. Their secondary structure includes four short double-helical elements and three loops (D, anti-codon, and T loops). Further hydrogen bonds mediate the characteristic L-shaped molecular structure. tRNAs have two regions of fundamental functional importance: the anti-codon, which is responsible for specific mRNA codon recognition, and the 3' end, to which the tRNAs corresponding amino acid is attached (by aminoacyl-tRNA synthetases). tRNAs cope with the degeneracy of the genetic code in two manners: having more than one tRNA (with a specific anti-codon) for a particular amino acid; and 'wobble' base-pairing, i.e. permitting non-standard base-pairing at the 3rd anti-codon position.
Source: Rfam by way of RNAcentral